GCUUCCGGAUCGAAGAACUCGCCGGCAGCGGCGAUAGCUUCUGCGGCCGCAUCGCGGUCUUCCUGACGGCUGUUGACGUCUUCGCCGCGGUUGAUGCGCUCGGCUUCCGCUUCGGAGCGAGCAACCGUCGUCGACACAUGCACUUCGACUUCAGGAUGCACCGCGAUGGUGAUCUUGUGCUGGCCGAUGACCUNUGAUCUUGAUCGGCGCGUCGAGCAGCACCUGCUGACGGUUGAGCGAGACGCCGUCGGCUUC
RNAcentral lists this unclassified non-coding RNA (255 nucleotides) under Hevea brasiliensis (rubber tree). The record is from RNAcentral. Lineage: Eukaryota; Viridiplantae; Streptophyta; Magnoliopsida; Malpighiales; Euphorbiaceae.